This 857-nucleotide ribosomal RNA is filed under the name Levilactobacillus brevis. RNAcentral describes it as "bacterial SSU rRNA". It matches the Rfam family "Bacterial small subunit ribosomal RNA", at positions 52 to 886 of the family's 1533-position model. Lineage: Bacteria; Bacillati; Bacillota; Bacilli; Lactobacillales; Lactobacillaceae. The record is from RNAcentral.
UGCAGUCGACGAGCUUCCGUUGAUGACGUGCUUGCACUGAUUUCAACAAUGAAGCGAGUGGCGAACUGGUGAGUAACACGUGGGGAAUCUGCCCAGAAGCAGGGGAUAACACUUGGAAACAGGUGCUAAUACCGUAUAACAACAAAAUCCGCAUGGAUUUUGUUUGAAAGGUGGCUUCGGCUAUCACUUCUGGAUGAUCCCGCGGCGUAUUAGUUAGUUGGUGAGGUAAAGGCCCACCAAGACGAUGAUACGUAGCCGACCUGAGAGGGUAAUCGGCCACAUUGGGACUGAGACACGGCCCAAACUCCUACGGGAGGCAGCAGUAGGGAAUCUUCCACAAUGGACGAAAGUCUGAUGGAGCAAUGCCGCGUGAGUGAAGAAGGGUUUCGGCUCGUAAAACUCUGUUGUUAAAGAAGAACACCUUUGAGAGUAACUGUUCAAGGGUUGACGGUAUUUAACCAGAAAGCCACGGCUAACUACGUGCCAGCAGCCGCGGUAAUACGUAGGUGGCAAGCGUUGUCCGGAUUUAUUGGGCGUAAAGCGAGCGCAGGCGGUUUUUUAAGUCUGAUGUGAAAGCCUUCGGCUUAACCGGAGAAGUGCAUCGGAAACUGGGAGACUUGAGUGCAGAAGAGGACAGUGGAACUCCAUGUGUAGCGGUGGAAUGCGUAGAUAUAUGGAAGAACACCAGUGGCGAAAGGCGGCUGUCUAGUCUGUAACUGACGCUGAGGCUCGAAAGCAUGGGUAGCGAACAGGAUUAGAUACCCUGGUAGUCCAUGCCGUAACGAUGAGUGCUAGUGUUGGAGGGUUUCCGCCCUUCAGUGCUGCAGCUACGCAUUAGCACUCGCUGGGAGUACGAC